GCAGUAGCCGCGGUAACACGGAGGGAGCUAGCGUUGCUCGGAAUUACUGGGCGUAAAGCGCACGUAGGCGGCUUGGUAAGCUAGAGGUGAAAGCCCGGAGCUCAACUCCGGAAUUGCCUUUAAGACUGCCGAGCUAGUAGGUGAGAGAGGUAAGUGGAAUUCCGAGUGUAGAGGUGAAAUUCGUAGAUAUUCGGAAGAACACCAGUGGCGAAGGCGACUGACUGGACAAGUAUUGACGCUGAGGUGCGAAAGCGUGGGUAGCAAACAGGAUUAGAUACCCCAGUAGUCCCUGUCUCUUAUAC
This 302-nucleotide ribosomal RNA is filed under the name uncultured bacterium. Its description in RNAcentral is "partial 16S ribosomal RNA". It matches the Rfam family "Bacterial small subunit ribosomal RNA", at positions 508 to 807 of the family's 1533-position model. The record is from RNAcentral.